RNAcentral lists this ribosomal RNA (495 nucleotides) under uncultured bacterium. RNAcentral's name for it is "partial 16S ribosomal RNA". It matches the Rfam family "Bacterial small subunit ribosomal RNA", at positions 28 to 507 of the family's 1533-position model. The record is from RNAcentral.
GACGAACGCUGGCGGCGUGCCUAAUACAUGCAAGUAGAACGCUGAAGGAGGAGCUUGCUUCUCUGGAUGAGUUGCGAACGGGUGAGUAACGCGUAGGUAACCUGCCUGGUAGCGGGGGAUAACUAUUGGAAACGAUAGCUAAUACCGCAUAAGAGUAGAUGUUGCAUGACAUUUGCUUAAAAGGUGCAAUUGCAUCACUACCAGAUGGACCUGCGUUGUAUUAGCUAGUGGGUGGGGUAACGGCUCACCAAGGCGACGAUACAUAGCCGACCGGAGAGGGGGGUCGGCCACACUGGGACUGAGACACGGCCCAGACUCCUACGGGAGGCAGCAGUAGGGAAUCUUCGGCAAUGGACGGAAGUCUGACCGAGCAACGCCGCGUGAGUGAAGAAGGUUUUCGGAUCGUAAAGCUCUGUUGUAAGAGAAGAACGAGUGUGAGAGUGGAAAGUUCACACUGUGACGGUAUCUUACCAGAAAGGGACGGCUAACUACGUG